Long non-coding RNA from Caenorhabditis elegans, 988 nucleotides. Ensembl annotates it as ncRNA. Its record names the gene linc-163. Lineage: Eukaryota; Metazoa; Nematoda; Chromadorea; Rhabditida; Rhabditidae. The record is from Ensembl.
CCCCCCCCCCUCUCGGCUCUUUUUGGGUGGUCCCGACUGGGUGGCCAAAGAGGGUGGCUAGCCAGGUGGUCUGAGGUCUGGAAAUUGGCACUUUGCGGGGGGUGGGUAGAGGUGUGGGAGGCUAUGAUUUGAUGCAAAGGGGUCUCUGGUUCGAACCCCCGCUGGGAUCAAUAAUUUUUAUUUAGCGUGAAGAUACACAGAAACUACCUUAAACUUAGCAUUAUUCAAGAAAUUUCGGGGAUUUUUAGUAAUUUUCCGAAAGACAACCUGUUAAAGCUCCUUAACUCUUUCGAAGAUGUUCAAAAUAUUAUCUAACUAGAAAAUUCGAUUUCAGCACAAAAUUCUGAACUGAUUUGACCCCCCACACUGCAAAGUUCAAAAAUUUUAUAAAAGUGUCCCAGUGGCUCAGGUGGGUAGAGAGAUGGCGAUGGCUCUGAGGGUCUGGGGUUCGACCCCCACAGUGGGAAAUUUUUUUUCUGGUUUUAAUUGAUUAGGUUACAUCGUUUAAGUUCAAUUUGAAGAAAUUUUAUUUUUAAUUUUGAUUAUUUUUCUGGCAAAAAAUUUUUUUUUCAAAAUUUUUUUUUUGAAAUCUUUAAAACUUUUUUCGCAAAAAAACCAAAAAUAAAUCAAUUCCCCCGUCAAGAAAUCAUGAAAACAUCCCGCCUAAUGCACCUUCCCCCUUGUGUUGAAUGAGGUGAUAAAGUAGGUAACAAAAUGUGAGAAAUGGGCUCUUUUGAGCCGAGCCGAGCCGACUGAAUACAAAAAAUGAGACAAAAUUGCUGAGUAUAUGCUCGGACGAAGAAACAAGAAAGUUGGGGGGAAACGAAGCGGAAAGUGGAAGUUCAGUGAGGUAAAAAGUUUUAAUUAAUGAGCACAUUGCGACGUAAUAUUAAUGGGAAAUGUUGGAAAUAAUGAGAAAAUGGGUAAUGGGGGAUGGUGGGGAGAAGUUGGAAAAAAUAAUGAAAAGUUUUGAAAAAAAAUUUUUUUU